UCCCUCAUUCCCCUUCCCCAACCUUCAGAGACCAGUAACCCUAGCAGCCGCCGCAAAUCCCCAAACCUUCACCCGCUGGCGGCGCCGCACCAAACACCUCCAUCUUCUAACCGGACAACCCCCACACGUUCCUCACCUUAUAUCUCCCUUCCAUUAUACUAGAAACCCCACCCAAGUCUGUGAAUUUCAGAUCUAAAGCGCCUAGAACCCUAAUUCGUCCUUGUGCGAUUUGUUUGGAGUAUCUGGUUCGAUUUGGGUCAAGAUUCAUUUGAAUUGAUUGCUCUUGAUAAGAGCAAUCGUGUUGCGUUUAUUUCGACCCAUUUCGAAGUCAUCGAAUUUCGACCAAGUUACCACUGACCAAUCAAGCUGCAUCAUUUUCAUUGCUUGUCUUCUUGAUGUGUUUGUUCAUUCAUGACCGGCCAAAUCAAUGUACCCCCCCCCCUCCCUUUUUACUUGUUUCCAUUUUCUGUUGUUUGAAUCCUCAGUUAGAAGUUAAUAACUGUUUUGAUUAGUUCAAUUAAGAUAGGUUAUUAGGGUAAUUGCUUGGUUAGUUAGUUAAUUGCAUAUCUUAGAUUACCAAUUAUAUGCAGUUAUUAGGGCCGAAUACUCCUAAGUCGUUUGUUCGUGGUUCUAUUGAUUCACUUAUUUGGUUCAUAAGCUUCCAAUUGUUGCUAUGUUGAUUAAGUUGUUUUUGCUUGAAUCAUUUGAUUUUCCCCGAGACUCAAUUCUUUCCCUCCCUGCAUUUUUUUUUUCUUUUCGUUUUGACAUAAACAACCCUAUUUAUUUGAGCUUCAAUGCUCGUUGAUUGAUGGUUUGAAGUUUGUGAGUUUUGGGCUAUAGUAUUCGGGCCCAUGGGUUGGGUGAGGUUUUGUUUUAAGAUGGCCCAUAUCUAUUUUGGUUUUAGAGGAUAAAUAAUAGUUGUUUAAGGGGUAGUUUAGGGAAAUAGGAUAGGGAAAUCUUUUGUAACUGCAUUAGGAAGCUUCUAGGUAAGUGGGGGAAGGGAUUUGGCUUGCAAAACUGAUUUUGAAUUGGGGUUUGAACCAAAUAAAGAGAAUUUGGGGAAGGGGUAAAUGACAAUUAACAAAAUCUUUACUGCUGCCCUAACCCCCUAUAAAAGCCUCAUUUCCUGAAAUUUUCAAAGAAAUCAGAGCUGGAGAAAUCAGAGACGGCUAAAAGAGAAUAUUAAACACUGAAAAGAUAUGAAAAAUCAGAAGAAAAACAAAAAACAACACAACACAAAACACUGUUUCAUUGAAGCUUUGUGUGUCAUUCUUUGGGUUUUCAAAAGUUUGAAGUAAUUUUGAUUCUUUCUGGGAUUUUAAGCAAGCUGAAUUUGCUAUUGCUGAUCUGCUGAAGUUCACCUUUUUCUACUGCUGGUCUUCUCACUUUUCUUUUGCUUUAACUUUACCAGGUAUUUCUUGGAUCUCCUUAGCCUAUGAAGUGCAAAAAUGUGAAACCUUGUAACUGAGAUGCAAUUCAAGAUCCUUGAUGUCUAAUUAAUGAUAUUUCAUGUUUGUAAUUUUGUGUUAUUUCAGUUUUCUUUGAAUAUGUUCAUCUAUCUAGUCAUGAUUUGGCUUGAAUCUAGUCUGUAAAUCUGG
This 1598-nucleotide long non-coding RNA is filed under the name Nicotiana tabacum (common tobacco). Its description in RNAcentral is "long non-coding RNA (NTAB_LNC017027)". The record is from RNAcentral. Lineage: Eukaryota; Viridiplantae; Streptophyta; Magnoliopsida; Solanales; Solanaceae.